This 216-nucleotide long non-coding RNA is filed under the name Mytilus galloprovincialis (Mediterranean mussel). Lineage: Eukaryota; Metazoa; Mollusca; Bivalvia; Mytilida; Mytilidae. The record is from RNAcentral.
AUCAAAUUGUUCAACUGGUCAAAAAUUUGAACAAACUGUUCAGCCAAAAUGUGAAAGUGCAAAGUGAUAAAAUAAAUCAUACUUACAAUCCUACAAGUCUGUAACUCCACUGUAUUGAUGUAAUUCCUAAAUCAGUCUAUCAAUCUGUAUAGUUAUAUUACAGCCAUUACCAUACUGAAGGUGAACUGUUUUAUUUUGAAUUGCUAUAAAAAUGUC